RNAcentral lists this ribosomal RNA (304 nucleotides) under uncultured bacterium. Its description in RNAcentral is "partial 16S ribosomal RNA". It matches the Rfam family "Bacterial small subunit ribosomal RNA", at positions 509 to 807 of the family's 1533-position model. The record is from RNAcentral.
CAGCAGCCGCCACGGGAAUACGAAGGGGGCUAGCGUUGCUCGGAAUCACUGGGCGUAAAGGGUGCGUAGGCGGGUCUUUAAGUCAGGGGUGAAAUCCUGGAGCUCAACUCCAGAACUGCCUUUGAUACUGAAGAUCUUGAGUUCGGGAGAGGUGAGUGGAACUGCGAGUGUAGAGGUGAAAUUCGUAGAUAUUCGCAAGAACACCAGUGGCGAAGGCGGCUCACUGGCCCGAUACUGACGCUGAGGCACGAAAGCGUGGGGAGCAAACAGGAUUAGAUACCCGAGUAGUCCCUGUCUCUUAUAC